GACGAACGCUGGCGGCGUGCUUAACACAUGCAAGUCGAACGGAAAGGCCCUGCUUUUGUGGGGUGCUCGAGUGGCGAACGGGUGAGUAACACGUGAGUAACCUGCCCUUGACUUUGGGAUAACUUCAGGAAACUGGGGCUAAUACCUGAUAGGAGCUCCUGCUGCAUGGUGGGGGUUGGAAAGUUUCGGCGGUUGGGGAUGGACUCGCGGCUUAUCAGCUUGUUGGUGGGGUAGUGGCUUACCAAGGCUUUGACGGGUAGCCGGCCUGAGAGGGUGACCGGCCACAUUGGGACUGAGAUACGGCCAAGACUCCUACGGGAGGCAGCAGUGGGGAAUAUUGCACAAUGGGCGGAAGCCUGAUGCAGCAACGCCGCGUGCGGGAUGACGGCCUUCGGGUUGUAAACCGCUUUCGCAUGUGACGAAGCGUGAGUGACGGUAAUGGGUAAAGAAGCACCGGCUAACUACGUG
Molecule: ribosomal RNA, 468 nt
Filed under: uncultured bacterium
Lineage: Bacteria
Description: partial 16S ribosomal RNA
Rfam family: Bacterial small subunit ribosomal RNA
Source: RNAcentral